RNAcentral lists this long non-coding RNA (1755 nucleotides) under Homo sapiens (human). RNAcentral's name for it is "non-protein coding lnc-AASDHPPT-4:1". Lineage: Eukaryota; Metazoa; Chordata; Mammalia; Primates; Hominidae. The record is from RNAcentral.
ACUGCCUUUAAUCCUCUUGCAAAAAAAAUGUUGAGAUUCAGGUAACAGAAAAAGGAACAAAUGAAGAGGAAGAGGCAUGAAACACCUUUAAAUGACAUGCCUUUUAUUCCCUCUAAAAUAAGUCUCUAUAAAUCACUCCAGGGAACUCUCCCAUUUUUCUUUUGGGUUCUCAACUCCAAUACUCUUCUCCUCCAUUUUCUUAUUGCAUUGGAAUAAGAAAUAUUCUUUUGUUCUUUCCCAUUUUCUCCUAGGAGGACGAAGUGGGAGGAUCACUCAAGGCCAGCAGUUUAGGACUAACCUGGACAUCAUAGCAAUAGCUUAUUCUCUUUUUCCUUCGCAGGCAUCCCUUCCUCUAAUUGCCCCUAAAAUGCUGACAUUUAUGUGGGUUCUGUCCUCAGCUACUUUGACUCUGUAAACUUCUUCAAUACAAACUACAUAUGUCACAUUCUUAAUUAGAAUGAUUUCAUGACUUCUCAUUACUCUUCAUAUAAAGUCCAAAUUUAAAAGAUGCUCCACAAUCUGUCUCCUGAUUGUUUCUUCCAUCUCAUUUCAUAGUCCACUUCUCGUGAAAUACCAAGAUCCAGAGAAAAUGGUUUUUCCAAAGAUUUGUGCACACUAAGUUCUUUCUCUUGCCUUGACAGCUUUGCAAAUGUCAUUCCUUCAGCCUUUUUCUUGGGUAACUCUUAUUCACCAUUUGGGUCUGAGCAUAACUUCCUCUGGAAGUCUUCUUCCACACAUUGAUCUUCAAGUGAGUUAAAUCCCCUUCUGUGCAUUCCCAUAGCAUCUAUAUUAUCUCUGUCAAACACUUCAUUCUAACUAUUUGUUUAAUUAUGUCUUCAUCAUCAGGCUUUUUAAGAUUUAUCAUAGUAGAGACUCUGUCUUGCUCAUUGAACAAGAAUAGUGCCCCCAUACAGUCACACUUAAUAAAUAUGAAUGAAUGAAUCAUAUGGUCUCAAUUCCACUUAUAUAACAAUGACUCCCGCCUUGGCCUCCCAGAGUGCUGGGAUUACAGGCAUGAGCCACCACACCCGGCCUGAGAAGUCUUAAUAGUUAAACUAUAAAUUGAUACAUUUUUGUUUAGAGUCGGGUAAAAACGUUGCUGACAAUUGUUUUCUGGAUGGUUUUGCCUCUAAUUAGUGAGUGAUUAUUCACAAUGUCUAGUUUAUCAGUAAACUUCAAAUCUUCCUGGGUCUGAAGGUUUUCAUUCCAAACCUUUAAAACAGGGGCCAGCUUUUAAUCUGAAUCAGAGUCAGCCAAAGAAAAUAGUAGAGUAAGCAGGUCCUAGACAGUUAACACAUAACAUUAUACAGCUAUGGGCAGUCCCAACAGUUCCUGAAAGGAUUAAAAAAAAGAGAACCAGUCACAGAUCCAAAUAUUUCAGCUUUAGAAAUUUAUUUCAGCAUGGACAUCUGAGUCCUGCAGCUGCUGUGUAUGGUCUUUUGUGUGAUCACAGGUGUUGGCUGUACUAUGAGAGCACAUAAUGGCAGAUGACAAGGCAAGCAUAGUAGGGACUGCCAGCCCCAGGAGGUAAUGCCAAGUUUAAUACUGAAAGUAAAACAUAUGCAUGUGCCAGUUUUCUUCUAAAUGCAUUUAUAUUGAAGAAAAACAAAGCUAUCUUCUAAAAAAAAACAUCUGUGUAUGGAUAAAGGAUGAUAUUGGCAUAAAAAUAGUAGCACUUAAAAAUUAAGAUUUGGUUUAAAAACUGGAGAAAAUAAAGUGAUAAAAUCAGGCAGUCACAUCAAGAAACAAUCAUUU